This 445-nucleotide ribosomal RNA is filed under the name uncultured bacterium. Its description in RNAcentral is "partial 16S ribosomal RNA". It matches the Rfam family "Bacterial small subunit ribosomal RNA", at positions 354 to 796 of the family's 1533-position model. The record is from RNAcentral.
GUGAGGAAUAUUGGUCAAUGGGCGCGAGCCUGAACCAGCCAAGUAGCGUGAGGGAUGACUGCCCUAUGGGUUGUAAACCUCUUUUGCAGGGGGGUAAAGUGGUUCACGUGUGGACCAUUGCAAGUACCCUGCGAAUAAGGAUCGGCUAACUCCGUGCCAGCAGCCGCGGUAAUACGGAGGGUGCGAGCGUUGUCCGGAUUUAUUGGGUUUAAAGGGUGCGUAGGCUGGAAGGUCAGUCAGCGGUGAAAAGCUGUCGCUUAACGAUAGUCUUGCCGCAGAUACUUCCUUUCUUGGAUGAGGAGGAGGCCACUGGAACGGAUGGUGUAGCGGUGAAAUGCAUAGAUAUCAUCCAGAACACCGAUUGCGAAGGCAGGUGGCUGUACCUUAAUCGACGCUGAUGCACGAAAGCAUGGGGAGCAAACAGGAUUAGAUACCCCUGUAGUCC